Apteryx owenii (little spotted kiwi) is the source of this 1832-nucleotide long non-coding RNA. NCBI's taxonomy places the organism in Eukaryota, Metazoa, Chordata, Aves, Apterygiformes, Apterygidae. The record is from Ensembl.
GGCCUAGCCCGGUCGCUCGGGCCCACUAAACACUGCUCCGCCCUGCGGUGGGACCGAGGUUUCUGCCCUCCGCGGCCUGGGCCUGGGCCGCAGCCCGGCCCGGCCUCCCGUCGCCCUGCGGCCCUGUCCAACGCCGGGUUAACGUCUUGACUCACAGCCAAACGAGACACCAGAGGGAGAGCGGUCUAACCAAAUAGCUGGUUAAACCACAAAACACAGACAUAAAAAUCACGUCUGACUAGAAUACGGUUUUAUACCCCGCUUUUAUUACGAGGAACUCGUUUAAGAGUAAAAUUCUGACUCGAUGACUUCUUGUUUGCUGAUCGCGAUGCGCCCGCGGCCUUCCGUGAGCGCCGGGUGGACGCCGCGCACCCUCGCGCAGGCCUGCGCGGGCAGGGCUGGCAGCGGCACAGCAGGGCGAGGCGUGCGGAGGGCGGCGCGGCCCGCCUGGGCGUAACGUGCGGGAGCCUCGCCUCCGCUGCCGAAGAAAGAUCAAGUCAAUUGAGAGAAAGCCAAAGAAGAAUCGUAUGCAUUAAAGCUGCCUCAGGAGAAUAGUAACUGUUUUAACAUACUUGUCAACAAGUGUUGCAAUACCAUCUUCAAAUGUUGCUUGCUUAUGCAGGGUAUUGAACAGGAAUCACAGCUCCCUGGAUAUAAUGAAAACAGUGAAGCCAGGUACUUCCAUGGUUUCUUCCAAACAUGUAAGAAGUGGUGAGUGUGGAUGGAUCGUUCCCCAGUUUUCAAUUAAAUCAUGUUCCAAAGAAAAGAAAAGAAUGAAGGAAAGUGCUGCUGAUUUUUGUACAUGCAAAGAAAAAAAAGAAAAAAGAAAAAAAAAGAAAAAAAGAAAAGAAACAAGUUGUUUAGCGAGUUUCUUUUCUCUCUGUCAGGUAACAUAGUCAUUUAUAUUAAUCACCAGGAAAACUGCAAAUCCAAGUCCUGGAACAAAGGGUUCCCACCCGAGUAACUUCCCUCUGAGAGAGGCAAUGGUGCUUCAGUAACUUUUCCUUUCAUGCUUCCCUCAUCUUUCUUCUUUUCUAUUUCAGUUGCUUGGAAUAUGGUUCUUCUGGUUUAUGUUGUUUACAGAAGUAAGGCUUUAAAAGCUGAUGUUGACUAUUAGUAUUUUACAAAAGCAAACCACAAGAACCAUACCAACAAAAAAAACUACUGAAGUGAACACAAAUGUUUUAAUGAAUUAAAAGAAACCUUGAAAGAGCAAAAUCUAUCUCAGAGGUGAAACUGAUGAGGCCAUGUUUGUUGUCCAAGCUGGAAGGAAUGUCAGGUAAGAAAAAGUAGCAUAAAUUAAUAGUAUGUAUUUCAAGCAUUUUCUACAAGAACCAGACUUGAUCCACUGGGACUUAAGUGCACAUUUUCUUGAAGGGAUGAAUAACCUUUUAACACUGUCACUUAGUACACAUUUCCUUUCUCAGAAUUAUUUGGUAUUGGCCACCAUCAGGUAAAAAACAGUGAAUUAAAUGGACUGAUAAUCUCCAGUUCCUAAAUUCUUCAGGGAGGUACAUUCAAUAUUGAAUUUGUUGUGACUGAGUCCUUCAGUUCUUGUACCCUAGCAAAGAAAGUUAGAACUACUAUCUGCUCUUCCUCUGAUCUUGAGGAAAGCUUUGGGAACAAAAUGAUGCUCAUUUCCAACUACCUGUCUCCUCCUCCUGGAAUAAUUGCCAGAUGGAUCAAAAAUUUUGCCUUUCAAGCAGUACCACCCAGUAAAACAAGUAUGUUGCACAAGACCAUAAUGUCGUGGCCUGGUUACUUUUCUCCCAGUUGCUCUACUGCUUUCUUCAUUUGCAAUAGUUUCAGUUCCUCUGUUGUUUCCAUUGGUG